GAUGAACGCUGGCGGCGUGCCUAAUACAUGCAAGUCGAGCGAAUGGAUUAAGAGCUUGCUCUUAUGAAGUUAGCGGCGGACGGGUGAGUAACACGUGGGUAACCUGCCCAUAAGACUGGGAUAACUCCGGGAAACCGGGGCUAAUACCGGAUAACAUUUUGAACCGCAUGGUUCGAAAUUGAAAGGCGGGUUCGGAUGUCACUUAUGGAUGGACCAGCGUCGCAUUAGCUAGUUGGUGAGGUAACGGCUAACCAAGGCAACGAUGCGUAGCCGACCUGAGAGGGUGAUCGGCCACACUGGGACUGAGACACGGCCCAGACUCCUACGGGAGGCAGCAGUAGGGAAUCUUCCGCAAUGGACGAAAGUCUGACGGAGCAACGCCGCGUGAGUGAUGAAGGCUUUCGGGUCGUAAAACUCUGUUGUUAGGGAAGAACAAGUGCUAGUUGAAUAAGCUGGCACCUUGACGGUACCUAACCAGAAAGCCACGGCUAACUACGUGCCAGCAGCCGCCGUAA
RNAcentral lists this ribosomal RNA (515 nucleotides) under uncultured bacterium. Its description in RNAcentral is "partial 16S ribosomal RNA". It matches the Rfam family "Bacterial small subunit ribosomal RNA", at positions 28 to 523 of the family's 1533-position model. The record is from RNAcentral.